CAGCAGCCGCGGUAAGACAGAGGAUGCAAGCGUUAUCCGGAAUGAUUGGGCGUAAAGCGUCUGUAGGUGGCUUUUCAAGUCCGCCGUCAAAUCCCAGGGCUCAACCCUGGACAGGUGGUGGAAACUACCAAGCUGGAGUAUGGUAGGGGCAGAGGGAAUUUCCGGUGGAGCGGUGAAAUGCAUUGAGAUCGGAAAGAACACCAACGGCGAAAGCACUCUACUGGGCCGACAUUGACACUGAGAGACGAAAGGUAGGGGAGCAAAUGGGAUUAGAUACCCCCGUAGUCCCUGUCUCUUAUAA
This 301-nucleotide ribosomal RNA is filed under the name uncultured bacterium. RNAcentral's name for it is "partial 16S ribosomal RNA". It matches the Rfam family "Bacterial small subunit ribosomal RNA", at positions 509 to 808 of the family's 1533-position model. The record is from RNAcentral.